RNAcentral lists this ribosomal RNA (511 nucleotides) under Yamadazyma aff. tenuis M091. Its description in RNAcentral is "LSU rRNA". It matches the Rfam family "Eukaryotic large subunit ribosomal RNA", at positions 89 to 647 of the family's 3401-position model. Lineage: Eukaryota; Fungi; Ascomycota; Pichiomycetes; Serinales; Debaryomycetaceae. The record is from RNAcentral.
GCGAAGUGAAGCGGCAAUUAAGCUUCCAAAUUUUGAAAUCCUGGGCGUCUUCGGCGUCCGAGUUGUAAUUUGAAGAAGGUAUCUUUCGGUUUUGGCUCUCGUCUAUGUUUCUCGGAACAGGACGUCACAGAGGGUGAGAAUCCCGUGCGAUAAGAUGCCCAAUUCCAUGUAAAGUUCCUUCGACGAGUCGAGUUGUUUGGGAAUGCAGCUCUAAGUGGGUGGUAAAUUCCAUCUAAAGCUAAAUAUUGGCGAGAGACCGAUAGCGAACAAGUACUGUGAAGGAAAGAUGAAAAGAACUUUGAAAAGAGAGUGAAAAAGUACGUGAAAUUGUUGAAAGGGAAGGGCUUGAGGUCAGACUUGGUUUACCAGGCCAGCAUCAGUUUGGAUGGCAGGAUAAUAGCUAAGAAAUGUGGCACCAUUUCGGUGGUGUGUUAUAGUCUUGGUUGAUACUGCCUAUCUAGACUGAGGACUGCGUCUUUGACUAGGAUGCUGGCAUAAUGACCUUAAGCCG